AUGAACGCUGGCGGCGUGCCUAAUACAUGCCAGUCGAGCGAACGGACGAGAAGCUUGCUUUUCUGAUGUUAGCGGCGGACGGGUGAGUAACACGUGGAUAACCUACCUAUAAGACUGGGAUAACUUCGGGAAACCGGAGCUAAUACCGGAUAAUAUUUUGAACCGCAUGGUUCAAAAGUGAAAGACGGUCUUGCUGUCACUUAUAGAUGGAUCCGCGCUGCAUUAGCUAGUUGGUAAGGUAACGGCUUACCAAGGCAACGAUGCAUAGCCGACCUGAGAGGAUGAUCGGCCACACUGGAACUGAGACACGGUCCAGACUCCUACGGGAGGCAGCAGUAGGGAAUCUUCCGCAAUGGGCGAAAGCCUGACGGAGCAACGCCGCGUGAGUGAUGAAGGUCUUCGGAUCGUAAAACUCUGUUAUUAGGGAAGAACAUAUGUGUAAGUAACUGUGCACGUCUUGACGGUACCUAAUCAGAAAGCCACGGCUAACUACGUG
This 496-nucleotide ribosomal RNA is filed under the name uncultured bacterium. RNAcentral describes it as "partial 16S ribosomal RNA". It matches the Rfam family "Bacterial small subunit ribosomal RNA", at positions 29 to 507 of the family's 1533-position model. The record is from RNAcentral.